CCAAAGGCUCUUUUAAGAGCCACCCACAUUUUCCUUUAAAAGAGCU
Non-coding RNA from Acanthisitta chloris (rifleman), 46 nucleotides. The record is from Rfam. Lineage: Eukaryota; Metazoa; Chordata; Aves; Passeriformes; Acanthisittidae.